CAAGGUUGAGGUAGUAGAUUGAAUAGUUGUGGGGUUCAUGUCCUCCUUUUGAGAUAACUAUACAGUCUACUGUCUUUCCUUA
Molecule: non-coding RNA, 82 nt
Organism: Oryzias latipes (Japanese medaka)
Lineage: Eukaryota; Metazoa; Chordata; Actinopteri; Beloniformes; Adrianichthyidae
Source: Rfam